AAUAAUAAACAAAAAUAGACCUACCCUAUUACUUUGUCGGUCCAAGAAAUACAGGUUUGAAGGUUUUUAGGAAACCAUUUUCUUCUUUGUCUCAGCAGCCUCUGAUUGGUGCCUCCAUGUUCAUCUCUAUUGAGUUUGCAGUUGAGGUAAGCAUCAAUUAACCUUCUCUCCAUUGUUACGCCCUUUUCGCAUUUGUAAUUGUUGAUGUCAAAUCUGCUUCCAAUCUGAUAACUCGACUUGUAGCUUUUCAUAUUCAGACAGUGAUCUUGAGCCAGGCGUAAUUGCAGCUCUCAGAUCCAAAACAUUGGUGCUCCUUAAGGUCUCCACAACACUCAGG
Molecule: long non-coding RNA, 337 nt
Filed under: Solanum tuberosum (potato)
Lineage: Eukaryota; Viridiplantae; Streptophyta; Magnoliopsida; Solanales; Solanaceae
Description: long non-coding RNA (STUB_LNC010705)
Source: RNAcentral